UAUUAUAGCAUUAUAAGUACGCAUAUUUAUGUAUAAAAUAUUUAUAAUAAAAGUCAUGAAUUUAAUAAUGUUUGAAUGUUUAUAUCUCUUAAUAAUUAAUAAAUUAACAAUUAUAUAAUUUAUAUUAACGAUCACAAAUGUCUAUCCAUAGGUGAUAAUGUCAUCGCUCUUCAUUUACCAUCAGAGCUCAUUUUCAAUAGUUUUAAACCUUCGACAUACGAUACGAUUUUUCAUGCUAAGCACGCAUACGAGGCGUCUUAUAAUUAGGUUACUAUCUUUGAGUAUAUAUACAUGAAUGAGGAAUGCCAGCACUGAAAGUGUGUCCAAGAUCUGUGCGAGAGAGAAAGGUAUAUCAUGAUACUUGCUCUCUCUGCGCAUGUGUCAAACGCUAUAUGUACAAUGGCUGGCAUUGUAUGUUUCACACAUAUACAAUUCGUAAUUAAGUACAAAAGUGCACAAGAAGUGUUGAAACUGCGGUGCAGAUAAUGAUAUUAACGCAUGCGCAGAGAAAGCGAGUAUCAUGAUAUACCUUUCUCUCUCGCACAGAUCUUGGACACACUUUCGAUCUACAUGAAACCAUAGCAAUUUCUCCUUCAUGUAUAUAUACUCAAAGGUAUUCUCACGUCCGCCAUUUUUCUUCAAACUAGCAAG
Molecule: long non-coding RNA, 651 nt
Organism: Monomorium pharaonis (pharaoh ant)
Lineage: Eukaryota; Metazoa; Arthropoda; Insecta; Hymenoptera; Formicidae
Exons: 2
Source: RefSeq, a predicted model, not a curated record